GGGGUGGUGUGGGGGGUGGGGUUGUUUGGUUAAAUCAUGCCAACCACUCCUUAAAUAUCUCUUCUAUUAUAAGCAUUUUUUGUGCUUGAAUCAUGAAUUAUUUAAUGACCUUAUGCUAUGAGCUAAAAACAAUGCCACGUGAUUUUAAAUAUUAGGUACGUAAAAAAUAGGUUCAUCUGAAAUUCACAGAUUAUAUUUUGCCAUUAUAUCAAUAGACAAUGGGUUCCAUGACCAGAUGACUUGCAUAAGAGCUAUAUUAUGAGCAGUGCACUGUAAAACCUGUAUUGGGAAAUCAAUAUCAAAAAAUGACAUUUUUACCUCUUAUCACGCACAAUACGAACAUCUCGUACACGGCCAAACCUAGAAAAUUUCCUUUCCAGAUCUCUUUCUGUGGUCAAGAAGCUAAAUCCUGCAACAAAUAAAUUGUUUCCUGGUUUCCCUAAUCCUGUUCUCCUAUUAGGAGGAGGAACCCAGGGUCUCUGACGAGGAGAGCGAAGGCUGGAGUGAUAUCCAGGAGGAGAUCUUUGCCUUGGAGAAUUCCUUACCCUAAAGCCAAAAGAAUGAAAUCACCAUGCCAUCCAAAAGCUGUGCAUUAGAGUGGGUGCAUAUAUGCAUGUGUGUUUACAAAUAACCCAAAGAGAUAAAAUUGCUAACAUAAUACAUUUACCUAGGGGACUUGUGACGGUCUCUCACAUGCGGGGAACUUGAUCGAGACCUGCCGCGACGAUCUCUCUUGUAUCCAGAUGAGGAAUCCCUUUUCCUAAUGGGUGAUCGUGACACCGAUUUCUCCAGUCUUCCAUAUUUUCUUGGUGAUUUGCGGAAUUUUGGUGAUGCGGAUCUGCGAUUUUGAGAAGAACCAUCCUUAUACUGAGACCUAUGCGGAGAGGCAGAUGUUUGCUUAGUAGAGGAAGACAAAUGAUCUCGAGAUGGGACCUUUUUAGCCUGAUCAGACCUUUUAGGUGAUGAAGAUUGUCUACGUUUGUGUCUACUUGACCUUUCACGUGAAGAAGAUUUUCUAGGUCUACAUGAUGUAGGUGGAUCAGAUGACUCUAAGAAACCUUCUUGUGAUGACGGCGGCCCAUGGCCUUCCGGAGACUGGUGUGUGUGCACGGGCUUUUCAGGUGACAUUUGUCUUAGCGUUGGUGGCAAUGCUGAAUGUUUAGAGGUGUUCCCAGAAGAAUGCGGAUGUAAAUGGGCUACAUCCAUCCUACCACUUUCAGUUGGGGUAUUUCUUGAAUGACAGUUGCCAUUCUUAGGUUCACUCUCCCGCCAGUUUGGCUUUUCAUUAGAGACAUUCACUUCCUCUUUCUCAGUAGUUUUUAACCUAUCUAAGUUAGAUUUGCCCUCCAGUUUCUCAGGCUGGCUGUCAUCUACUGUUAUAGGCAACUCCUGUGAAUGAGCAGAACCUUCAGUUCCCCUCUCACUGUGGGAAGUUUUUGCCAUAAAUUGAAACGAGGUUUUUUGAAAAUAACUGCCACUUAACUCAUCCAUCUCACCUUGGCAAUCUUCGUCCUUCAAUGGAGGCUGCAUCCGCUGAUGAUAGGUAAAUUCCGUAGGAAGUAAACGAAAAUUGUCAACAGGGGAUUCCAAGUUCUCAAUUUUAAAAUCAUCAGGCAGAGAAGAGGACCCCUGUGUCCCCAACUGGUUUGAAUCUACUUGCAAUCCACAAGUAGCCACUGAGUUUUCAAAAACACAACCUUCAGCUUCUACUUCUCUACCACCUGUGAAAUCAACAUCCAAUUCUCCAGCAGAUGUGGAACCACAUUGUCUCUGGAGAUGACUAAUUUCUUCUACAUCUAUCUCAGAAGAACCCAAACCCAUCCCUUGGUUUGUAGCUUCUUGUGUGGAUUCUUUCGUUCUCUAUUUCUCUAUGGCAAUAAUAUAAUAAUAGUUCUAAUCUUCUAAGGGGUUAUUAAAAAGAGAAAAAAAAAUCUGAAAUAUGAAAAAGAUUGAGCAUUUAGUUUUCGUGUUUUCUGGGAUCUCUGGGGUUGUA
Molecule: unclassified non-coding RNA, 1993 nt
Filed under: Hevea brasiliensis (rubber tree)
Lineage: Eukaryota; Viridiplantae; Streptophyta; Magnoliopsida; Malpighiales; Euphorbiaceae
Source: RNAcentral